GAUGAACGCUGGCGGCGUGCCUAAUACAUGCAAGUCGAGCGAACAGACGAGGAGCUUGCUCCUCUGACGUUAGCGGCGGACGGGUGAGUAACACGUGGAUAACCUACCUAUAAGACUGGGAUAACUUCGGGAAACCGGAGCUAAUACCGGAUAAUAUAUUGAACCGCAUGGUUCAAUAGUGAAAGACGGUUUUGCUGUCACUUAUAGAUGGAUCCGCGCCGCAUUAGCUAGUUGGUAAGGUAACGGCUUACCAAGGCAACGAUGCGUAGCCGACCUGCGAGGGUGAUCGGCCACCCUGGAACUGAGACACGCUCCAGGCUCCUACGGGAGGCAGCAGUAGGGAAUCUUCCGCAAUGGGCGAAAGCUUGACGGAGCAACGCCGCGUGAGUGAUGAAGGUCUUCGGAUCGUAAAACUCUGUUAUUAGGGAAGAACAAAUGUGUAAGUAACUAUGCACGUCUUGACGGUACCUAAUCAGAAAGCCACGGCUAACUACGUG
Molecule: ribosomal RNA, 497 nt
Filed under: uncultured bacterium
Lineage: Bacteria
Description: partial 16S ribosomal RNA
Rfam family: Bacterial small subunit ribosomal RNA
Source: RNAcentral